This 457-nucleotide ribosomal RNA is filed under the name Salmonella enterica subsp. enterica serovar Oslo. RNAcentral describes it as "partial 23S ribosomal RNA". It matches the Rfam family "Bacterial large subunit ribosomal RNA", at positions 419 to 878 of the family's 2925-position model. The record is from RNAcentral. Lineage: Bacteria; Pseudomonadati; Pseudomonadota; Gammaproteobacteria; Enterobacterales; Enterobacteriaceae.
GGGACACGUGGUAUCCUGUCUGAAUAUGGGGGGACCAUCCUCCAAGGCUAAAUACUCCUGACUGACCGAUAGUGAACCAGUACCGUGAGGGAAAGGCGAAAAGAACCCCGGCGAGGGGAGUGAAAAAGAACCUGAAACCGUGUACGUACAAGCAGUGGGAGCACCCUUUUGGGUGUGACUGCGUACCUUUUGUAUAAUGGGUCAGCGACUUAUAUUCUGUAGCAAGGUUAACCGAAUAGGGGAGCCGGAGGGAAACCGAGUCUUAAUUGGGCGUUAAGUUGCAGGGUAUAGACCCGAAACCCGGUGAUCUAGCCAUGGGCAGGUUGAAGGUUGGGUAACACUAACUGGAGGACCGAACCGACUAAUGUUGAAAAAUUAGCGGAUGACCUGUGGCUGGGGGUGAAAGGCCAAUCAAACCGGGAGAUAGCUGGUUCUCCCCGAAAGCUAUUUAGGUAGC